UCUGUGUUGGCUGCAUCAAUC
RNAcentral lists this non-coding RNA (21 nucleotides) under Mus musculus (house mouse). The record is from RNAcentral. Lineage: Eukaryota; Metazoa; Chordata; Mammalia; Rodentia; Muridae.